UCCAGUGGGUAACGUGUUUAGUUCAUUAACAAAAUCGGUGCUGCCUGUUCACAAACUUGUCCUUUUUCAUGAAUAUUUACCACCACCAUCAAUUUCAACUACUCCCAUCAACUUGGAAUUUUACAUUUCCAUUUUUUUAUGAACUGGGGUAGACGCUCCAUAGUAAUGCGCCAUUUUGAAAUACGUUAGCCAGUAUGGGACAUACAGGAUAUACUGCUCCGCCUUUCGCGUUUUCACUGUCAAAUGAUAAACUCACAGGCGCUGCUAAUGUGCUAAUGGGUAUCGUCGCUUCCCGGCCCCGGCAAGUUUGAAGAAGGAAACAUAGAGCACCACAUGUAUUCAUAAUCCAAAC
Etheostoma cragini (Arkansas darter) is the source of this 352-nucleotide long non-coding RNA. RefSeq lists it as uncharacterized. The transcript is spliced from 3 exons. The record is from RefSeq and is a predicted model, not a curated record. NCBI's taxonomy places the organism in Eukaryota, Metazoa, Chordata, Actinopteri, Perciformes, Percidae.